UUAGUUUCCUGCCUCUCCUCCUGGGUAAUCUUACCAUCGCCUAGCUCUCAAGAUUUUAAUGUGUAGGUAUAAUGGGAUGUCCACAGUGAGGGCGUCUGUCAGGGGUGCCAUACAGCACAUCAGGUCUUCUCCAGUCCUGCUAACUCUACAUUGGCGAUACCUGUGAGCUUGUUAGAAAUGCUAGGUAUCCACCCCUAGGCCAGAUUUGCUAAACUUGACUCUCUGAGGGUGGGGUUCAGGGGUCUGCAUUUAACAAACUCCUCCAGGUGAUCUUGAUGCUCAGUAAGUUUGAAAAGCUCAGUGCUAGACCAGAGCUACUGAGUGCGUGGUGAUCUGGUGGCCCAUUCUCUUCCGCUGUCUGGGCACUGUGUCUGGUUUGUGAAGAGGUCUGGAGAGAAAUGGAAGAUCCCAGAAGGGUCAAGCUGGACCUUCAGUGUCUCCUUGAAUAGCCCCAUCACCCUCCAAGCCACAUACACACCAAGUAUACCGAUGGAGAAUGAAAAGAGAAGAAUAUUCUUUACCUCAUUUAUUUUGGAGUGUAUACUCUGUACUAAGCACUAUGCUGGCCACUGGAAUGAUUGACAGAUGAGAUCUUUUGAUGUCAUAGAAGGAGGAGCUCUCUGUGUGGAGGAAUGUUUCCAGGGUGAAAAGACCCCAGCAAGGCCCAGACAUUCAAGUCUGAAUGACCUUCCUUCUCUGUAGCUGCCAUUUGGCAGCCUUCAACCCGAUGGGCUGGCCGUCCUGGGUUUGCCUCUGGGCCUGUCAUUUGUCGUGUUGUUGGACUGCUGAUGGGCUGUCACUGCUUACCCCUUAAGCCUGCACUUUCCUCUUCUGAUUUUGGCUGCCACUAGAAGCUUGCACCUGACUGACAUAGACUGCUGCUGAUUACCAACAGGCUGCAGUGCAUGGCAACUUCCUUAAGUGUUUACUGAGCCCUACAGUGGAGGUGAACAAUUGGAAUGAAGAAUAUCAAGGAUUCCUGAAAGAAAAUCAAUUUUGAAUGAACUUUUCUUGCUUAGCCACAGCUUCAAUAUUCUGAGUCAUACUGUAUUUUUGUGGACUUCCAUUGAAUUAAGGGGUAGAAAUGGCAGUGGGGAGGAAAGUGAAUUUCAUGAUAUGCAUUUAACCUGUGGCACUGCACAAAAUAAUUCUUCACGUACGAUUACAAGGUAGAAAAAUACUCAAUCUUCCUCAAAUAUAUUAAUCUUAGGGAUGGAGAAAUCUCAUAGGGGCAUAAGACAUUUUUAAUAAAGACUUUAGCAGUCCUUCAAAAACAGUUGUAUCAUAAAAGUAAUAAUCAUUUACAAGUAACUCUACCAGGAGGUCAGAGCCCUUUUCAGAUCAUGCCAUUCAACCAGCUUCCUAAAUGGGAGGUUGUCCGGGAUGUUCAUUGCUAUCUUUAGCAAUCCUGUGGUUUGCAACUAGAAUAUCUAACAGUAUUCCUUUUGCCUCAUCCAAAUAGGUCAUACACACACACACACACACACACACACAUAUCCACAUAUAUAAAAUCAUUUUUGUGAUCUUUAUAUUUUUUUAAAUUGUAAGUGCCUGCUGAAGAGAG
Ailuropoda melanoleuca (giant panda) is the source of this 1564-nucleotide long non-coding RNA. RefSeq lists it as uncharacterized. The record is from RefSeq and is a predicted model, not a curated record. NCBI's taxonomy places the organism in Eukaryota, Metazoa, Chordata, Mammalia, Carnivora, Ursidae. The transcript is spliced from 6 exons.